Molecule: long non-coding RNA, 957 nt
Organism: Cyprinus carpio carpio
Lineage: Eukaryota; Metazoa; Chordata; Actinopteri; Cypriniformes; Cyprinidae
Source: Ensembl
UUUUGGCCACUGUCACGCUGGCCUUAGGUGGUCUUAGCUGGUUUUAGCUGGUUUUCUUUACUGAAUCAACUGGUUUUAGCUGGAUUAGAAUAGAAAAAUGUUAACAACAUGCUAGUUACUUGCUUAUCAGACUAGAAACAUACUUCUAACAUGGUUUAAAGUGGUUUUGGCCACUGUCACGCUGGCCUCAGCUGGUCUUAGCUGGUUUUAGCUGGUUUUCUUUACUGAAUCAACUGGUUUUAGCUAGAUUAUCAUAGAAACAUGUUAACAACAUGUUAGUAACUUGAUAAUCAGGUUAGAAAUAUGCUUUUAACAUGGUUUUAAAGUAGUUUUUGGCCACUGUCACGCUGGUCUUAGCUGGUUUCUAACUGAAUCAACUAGUUUUACCUGGAUUAACAUAGAAACAUGCUAGUCACUUGCUAGUCAUGCUAGAAACAUGCUAGUCACUUGGUAAUCAUGCUAAAAAAAUACUAGUCACUUUGCUAAUCAUGAUAACAAAAUGCUAGUCACUUUGUUAAUCAUGCUAAAAACAUGCUAGAAACAUGCUACAAACAUGCUAGUCAUGCUAGCAACAUGCUAGAGACAUGCUAGUCAUGUUAACAGCAUGCUAGUCACUUGCUACUUAUGCUAGCAACAUGCUAAUCACUUGCUAAUCAUGCUAACAACAUGCUAGUCUCUUGUUAAUCAUGGUAACAACAUGCUAGUAACUUUGCUAAUCAUGCUAAAAACAUGCUAAUAACAUGCUAGUCACUUGCUAAUCAUGCUAAUGGCAUGCUCGUCAUGCUAGAGACAUGCUAGAGACACGCUAGUCAAGCUAGCAACAUGCUAGUAACUUUGCUAGUCAUGUUAGUGACAUGCUAGUCGCAUGCUAAUCAUGCUAGCAAAAUGCUAGUCGCAUACUAAUCAUGCUAAAAACAUGUUAGCAACAUACAAACAACAUGCUAAUCAUGUUAGAAA